RNAcentral lists this ribosomal RNA (1512 nucleotides) under Lactiplantibacillus argentoratensis. Its description in RNAcentral is "partial 16S ribosomal RNA". It matches the Rfam family "Bacterial small subunit ribosomal RNA". The record is from RNAcentral. Lineage: Bacteria; Bacillati; Bacillota; Bacilli; Lactobacillales; Lactobacillaceae.
GACGAACGCUGGCGGCGUGCCUAAUACAUGCAAGUCGAACGAACUCUGGUAUUGAUUGGUGCUUGCAUCAUGAUUUACAUUUGAGUGAGUGGCGAACUGGUGAGUAACACGUGGGAAACCUGCCCAGAAGCGGGGGAUAACACCUGGAAACAGAUGCUAAUACCGCAUAACAACUUGGACCGCAUGGUCCGAGCUUGAAAGAUGGCUUCGGCUAUCACUUUUGGAUGGUCCCGCGGCGUAUUAGCUAGAUGGUGGGGUAACGGCUCACCAUGGCAAUGAUACGUAGCCGACCUGAGAGGGUAAUCGGCCACAUUGGGACUGAGACACGGCCCAAACUCCUACGGGAGGCAGCAGUAGGGAAUCUUCCACAAUGGACGAAAGUCUGAUGGAGCAACGCCGCGUGAGUGAAGAAGGGUUUCGGCUCGUAAAACUCUGUUGUUAAAGAAGAACAUAUCUGAGAGUAACUGUUCAGGUAUUGACGGUAUUUAACCAGAAAGCCACGGCUAACUACGUGCCAGCAGCCGCGGUAAUACGUAGGUGGCAAGCGUUGUCCGGAUUUAUUGGGCGUAAAGCGAGCGCAGGCGGUUUUUUAAGUCUGAUGUGAAAGCCUUCGGCUCAACCGAAGAAGUGCAUCGGAAACUGGGAAACUUGAGUGCAGAAGAGGACAGUGGAACUCCAUGUGUAGCGGUGAAAUGCGUAGAUAUAUGGAAGAACACCAGUGGCGAAGGCGGCUGUCUGGUCUGUAACUGACGCUGAGGCUCGAAAGUAUGGGUAGCAAACAGGAUUAGAUACCCUGGUAGUCCAUACCGUAAACGAUGAAUGCUAAGUGUUGGAGGGUUUCCGCCCUUCAGUGCUGCAGCUAACGCAUUAAGCAUUCCGCCUGGGGAGUACGGCCGCAAGGCUGAAACUCAAAGGAAUUGACGGGGGCCCGCACAAGCGGUGGAGCAUGUGGUUUAAUUCGAAGCUACGCGAAGAACCUUACCAGGUCUUGACAUACUAUGCAAAUCUAAGAGAUUAGACGUUCCCUUCGGGGACAUGGAUACAGGUGGUGCAUGGUUGUCGUCAGCUCGUGUCGUGAGAUGUUGGGUUAAGUCCCGCAACGAGCGCAACCCUUAUUAUCAGUUGCCAGCAUUAAGUUGGGCACUCUGGUGAGACUGCCGGUGACAAACCGGAGGAAGGUGGGGAUGACGUCAAAUCAUCAUGUCCCUUAUGACCUGGGCUACACACGUGCUACAAUGGAUGGUACAACGAGUUGCGAACUCGCGAGAGUAAGCUAAUCUCUUAAAGCCAUUCUCAGUUCGGAUUGUAGGCUGCAACUCGCCUACAUGAAGUCGGAAUCGCUAGUAAUCGCGGAUCAGCAUGCCGCGGUGAAUACGUUCCCGGGCCUUGUACACACCGCCCGUCACACCAUGAGAGUUUGUAACACCCAAAGUCGGUGGGGUAACCUUUUAGGAACCAGCCGCCUAAGGUGGGACAGAUGAUUAGGGUGAAGUCGUAACAAGGUAGCCGUAG